Pelodiscus sinensis (Chinese soft-shelled turtle) is the source of this 1580-nucleotide non-coding RNA. NCBI's taxonomy places the organism in Eukaryota, Metazoa, Chordata, Testudines, Trionychidae. The record is from RefSeq and is a predicted model, not a curated record.
GGGGGACAGACACUAUGUCUCCCUCCAAGAAAAGACACUUUCUUCACUUUCUGUUUCCCUUUAUCAAAGAGCUAUGGUGCAUCUGAAGAAUGAUGUCCAAAUUGCAAAGAUAUUGUCUAGCUACAGAAACUGCAUUUGCUGAAUUUUUUCCUCUAUAAACACAUCAGACCUUCUUCAGAGGAGAGGUGUAGACAGGACCAGAAUGGAACUAGUGUGGUACAAUCAGAGCAAAUCUGGGGAGCAGAUAAGAAAGGGGCAACUAUGGCAGAUUUUGUCAGCCUGUGCAGGAGGAAAUGCUGGCCACACAAUUCCAUGAAGAUAACCAGAACUGUAUGGAUCCAAGGCAGAGACAGGCCAUGGAAGAAGCAUGGGAACACUGAAUCUGUGACUGCGUAUCCACUGGACAGUCCCACUGAGAAGUAGAGGUAGCAGCUAUGGAGUCUACCAAUAUCCCGAAGUUGCAUUAACAUCUCUUGCUCACAUAAAGCUCCCGGAGUAUGUAACCUGUGCAGCCCAUGUGUUCUGGGCUUACUUAGAGUCCUUUUGCUUAAAGUCUGUAAUUGUUCUGCCCCGUGUGUUGAUUAUCAAAUCUAUUUGUGCCCUAAAGCUUCACAUUCAUUUGAAUAGAAACACGUGGAUGUCACAGAGUCAAGCAGAAGCUGACCUGGGAAUGAGGGAGAGACAGCCAUUAUCCAACCACCAAUAUCGGCAAUAGUAGCAAGGAGGACCGAGAAAAUGACUGGUGAAGCAAAAUACAGCUUGUAUUUAUUCUCUUCACAUUAAUUCCCACUGUAAAAGGAAGAACUAAGAGACCUCAGCUCACUAAAAGGCAGGAUGUGAGCUACAUAUAUUUUAAAAGCAAGUAAUUGAAAUAUCUGCAGCUACUGGCUUGAUGCAGGCAGACCAGAUAGCAGUUCUUUAGCUGAUCUCUGCCAAAUUCACUGAUGAAAACUAGUCUGUUUCACCUGUGUGUUUACAUGGGUAAGAUAGAUACUGAAAUUAUAAUAAUGGGUUUAGUAUUUAGAUGAAGAAAUACUUAUAAGAUGCUGCAUGCAUUCAUCCAAUGUAUAAUCUCUUUAUCACAUGCUAUAAGAUAAGGUAACAUUUACAUUUUUCCUUUGUAACUAUAAAAAAGUUUGCUUUUACUGUGAACUCAGGCAGGAGGGAUCAUCUCUUGCAUGUCAAGAAGGCUAUCAAAACUAGUUGGGGCCACUGUGGGACAUCUUAAUUCAAAGACUUUGUUCAUUGCCCAUUACACAUGUGACGACACUAUGUGCAAAAGGGCUUGUCUCAUCAGCUUGAAUUCAGGAAGAAAAAAAUUAAAAAUGGCUGACAAGAAAAUUUUUCAUCUUUUACUAUUUGGACACCCAUAGGGAGCUAUGAAACAGAAGCAGCAAAUCUCCAUGGUCAAUUUGGGUUAGUCCUAGAAGACAUUCAGAGCUGAAAGAUUAUACUAGAACUCUGUCACCAUUUGGAAGCAUAGAGUAACUCAUUUGUGUAUAUGUAUUUGCCUGCUUUAACCUUGUAAAUAACUCAUUUAUUUUCUUAGUAAAUAAACCCUUAAUUAGUUUACUAUAAAA